CAGUGUGAGGAGGGCACAUGUGGUACAGUGUGAGCGUGGAAUAUGCUUCAUCACAUGUGACCUCACUUCACCGU
Ornithorhynchus anatinus (platypus) is the source of this 74-nucleotide non-coding RNA. The record is from Rfam. NCBI's taxonomy places the organism in Eukaryota, Metazoa, Chordata, Mammalia, Monotremata, Ornithorhynchidae.